This is an RNA transcript of Cucumis melo (muskmelon), 4324 nucleotides long. It is a transcript of the gene named probable L-cysteine desulfhydrase, chloroplastic, with no coding region annotated. NCBI's taxonomy places the organism in Eukaryota, Viridiplantae, Streptophyta, Magnoliopsida, Cucurbitales, Cucurbitaceae. The record is from RefSeq and is a predicted model, not a curated record. The transcript has 3 exons.
AAAGGCAAAACAAUACCACUUGAAAUAGUUUUCUCUGUUAAUGGUGGAAGCCAAAAUUUCUCCCUUUGUUCAUAGCACUGUUCAACCCCACUUGUCUCUGCUCUCAUUAUUUUUCUCUUUAUUCGCCUUGACGUUUUCUCCUCUUCCGUAUUCUCCUCCCUCGAACAAAACCUUCCUUCUUAUCGCAUUUCUUCGACCCAUUUCCCCAUUUCCCCAUUUUCUCGUUCUCCCUCGUCACUUUCCUCACUUUCUAUCAAUUUCAGCUUCACCCAUCACUCUUAACCCUAAAUCCUGCUUACCCAUCUCCCUCCAAUGGCUUCUCACUGUGAAAAAAACCACCUUCCCCCUGAUUCUACCCCUCAUCUUAACGGUGACGCCAAUACCCACUUGCCCAAAAGGCCUAAAAUUGCCCCCACUUUCAUUUCUGACUCAGAAAUUCAAUCCGAGUUUGCCCAUCAUGACCCUUCUGUUGCUCGGAUCAACAACGGGAGCUUUGGCUGUUGCCCUUCUUCUGUCAUCUCUGCUCAACAACAAUGGCAGCUUAAGUUCCUUCGCCAGCCUGAUUGGUUCUACUUCAACGAGCUCAAAAAGGGGAUUCUUGAAUCGAGAACCAUCAUUAAGGAUCUCAUCAAUGCCGAGCAUAUUGAUGAAGUUUCUAUUGUUGAUAACGCUACCACCGCAGCUGCUAUAGUUUUGCAGAAAAUCGCUAGGGAUUUUUCUGAGGGGAGAUUUGAGAAGGGUGAUGCGGCGGUUAUGCUUCACUAUGCGUAUGGUGCUGUGAAGAAGUCAAUAGAGGCAUAUGUUUCUCGAGCUGGUGGGUAUGUAAUUGAGGUUCAAUUGCCUUUUCCUGUUAAGUCUAAUGAUGAAAUUAUAUUUGAAUUUCGUAAGGCUUUGGAGAGAGGAAAGGCUAAUGGUAGGAAGGUUCGUUUGGCUGUGAUUGAUCAUAUUACAUCCAUGCCUUGUGUGGUUAUACCGGUUAAGGAGUUAGUUAAGAUUUGUAGGGAAGAGGGUGUUGACCAAGUUUUUGUUGAUGCUGCUCACGCUAUUGGGUGUACUGAUAUUGAUAUGCAAGAGAUUGGUGCUGAUUAUUACACAAGUAAUUUGCAUAAGUGGUUCUUUUGUCCACCUUCAAUUGCUUUCUUGUAUUCCAGGAGGUCCCCAAAUCAUUCUGAUUUGCAUCAUCCCGUUGUUUCUCACGAGUAUGGUAAUGGGUUGGCCAUAGAAAGUGCUUGGAUUGGAACCAGGGAUUAUAGUUCUCAGUUGGUGGUUCCUUCGGUUUUGAAGUUUGUUAAUAGGUUUGAAGAUGGGAUUAAGGGAAUCAAAAAAAGGAAUCAUGAGGCUGUUAUUAAGAUGGGAGAGAUGUUGGCAGAAUCAUGGAAGACUCAUCUUGGCUGCCCACCAAAUAUGUGUGCGAGCAUGGUCAUGGUGGGGUUGCCUUCAUGCUUGGGCAUCUCAAGUGAAUCUGAUACUCUGAGGUUGAGAACACACUUACGGGAAGAGUUUAGAGUUGAAGUCCCGAUAUAUUACCGUGCUCCGAAAAAAGGGGAAACUGCCCCUAUUACAGGGUAUGCACGAAUUUCUCAUCAAGUGUACAACAAAUUUGAAGAUUAUGUUAAGUUUCAAGACGCAAUCAACGAACUUGUGCAAACUGGCUUCACCUGCACUCAACUCUCCAAAUGACGACAGAGGAGGUAGAUGUCCUUUGCUUUCAUGAAUAUAGUUUAUGCAAUUUAGGCAGUUGUUAUUACUCGGGAUCUUAUAAGGUAAAAAGGGGAAUUGAAGUUGUUUAACUCUUCCCAUGUUUGCCUAAUAUAAUCCCAUGAUUGCAAUUAAAGUCAUGCUAAAUCCAACAAAUACGUAGUUAGAAAAUUCUUUGUACGACUAUUUUUAGUUAUAUGUAGUCAAUCUUAAAGUGAUACUCAUCCAUGAUGUUUAUUAUAUUUUUUUUAUUUGAUUGGGUACUCAAAUAGGUCAUUUCCAUUCUAUCUAAUUGAUUUUCUGACCCUUCCUAAAUCCUUCACUUAUAAGAAGGUCUAUGGUUUCGUCUUUUCUUAAUUAUGCAAUAAUGAAUCUGGCUGAGAAGGACAAGUGCUAGUGUGCUACUACAUUCCAAUUAUGAAUAUUGGCUGAGAAGGACGUAGACUAGAGAUCGAUGAGGAACUUUUCCUUAUUUAUGACUUGAUUUUAAGUAUACCCCAAAAUUUGUGCCUAAUGAGAACUAACUUUGAAUUGGAUCCUUCGUUAUUCGUUAAGAGUUCAUUUUUUUUUAUAGCCCGAUCACUUUUUUUUUUUUUUUUUUUUAUCAUAACUACUUUCGUUGAGAAAAAUGAAAUUUCAAGAAUUAAUAAAUGCAUUUCUUUUUCAAGAAUCAUACUUUUAAAUAAUAGUUUAGUCAUGCAUAGAUAGAGCCAAGCUUGGGGGCCUACAUAAGCCGGGUGGAAGCCUGUAGGUCUGUAGAUGCAUCCUUUAUUGAUGUACAAGUUUUUAGUUUCUUCUUGACAUUUUGAGAUCUUUUAUGUCCCACCUGUGGUUAGAAUGAGAACCCAACAGGUUGGUAUGCAAUAAUUGGGGGAGCAAGUUCUCAUAGUCCCAAUAUUUAAUUAAAUUACAUGUGAAAUCUAGAAAAAAAUUAUUUCACGUGGGUAAAUAUCUAUUUUGCUCCCUCUCGUGUAGUCGUGUUGACUGUUAUUUGAAAUAAGGAAGUCCUUUUCUUGACUUGGUCUACAUGCUUUAUACCUACCUUUUUAAAGAACUCGAUUUCAAUCUUAAUGAUGAAAUGAUGGUUGCAAUUUUUGUUCAGAUGUAUUUUCUCUAAGGAAUUAGUUAGUUGUCUAGUGACAAGUAACCUAGCAGCAGCAUUUAUCCAAUUUCUUUAACACGUCUUUCAGUUUUUCACAGCCAGAAUAUUAAACUUUAGGGGAAGAAAUAAGGCCUGUGGUGGCAUCAAAAUGGAUAGACUGCUAUAUGGUAUUAAAAUAUCUAAGCAACAUAAUCCACAAUUUGUUUUGGUGUUGAGACUUGAGAGUCCAAUAAGCUCUUUUUAUUUCAUUCAUUUAUGAAAUUGUUCCUCUUCUAGAAAAAAAAAACUAGUUAUAAUUUGUCUGCUUCACAAAUUGAUAUAUGGGAGUUCCUACCUUUCCUUUCUAACCUUACUCUGUAGUCUGUAGCCCCUCUUGCUAUUUGUUUGUCCUCUUUUUCCAUGAAUGUGUGAUACCACUUGUGGCUUAGCCUUCAGGUAUUCAUAUCAGCUAGUUUGAUAGUUAAGAACUUUAGCUUAAAAACUAUUACUUUCUUUUAAUACAUAUAGUAGUUGUGAUUAAUAUUUGCAAAACAGAUUUUAGAAGAUAUUUCUAAGAAUAUUGAUUAGUUGACCUGUUAAUCUGUUAUGUUAUGUUAUAUUAAGAUUAUUGUUUACAGACCCAUGAUUUUCGGAAGGACAACUUUAGCUAUUAUAAAAACAAACUACUUAUGAGGACUUUGAGAAUAAUAAAAAGGAACAUAAUUUUUUAAAAUUAGUCAACCAACCAUGUUUUUGUUGUCUUUUUGUUCUUAAGAAAAAAAUGGUUUUAAAACACAACUUUCAGACACAACCCAUCAUUUGCUCCGUCUUCAAAAAAUAAUUUUCCAAAGGGAACAGCUGGGUGCUUCGAAUUUGCAGUUCAUAAAUGAUGAUAAAUUAGUGCCCUUUUGAAUGCAUAAUAACUUUAAUUUCUCCAUACAAAACAUAUGUCUAAGAAUUAUUUAUUAAGAUACAUGUCUUCUGUCUGAAUAGAGGGUGGAAGGUGCUGGGAAUAAUCAGUUACAUUGAACAGCGUUGCAUCUUUGCUUCAGCAUUCGGGUUGGGAGUUGAUGUUGUGAUAAAGUUUCUUGCAUUUUGUGGUUCUCCAUCUGAUAAAAACAAUCAAACAUCGAAGGCUUAUGAAAGCGGCACACGGUGGUUCUCUUCUGCUGUAUAGCCAUGGUUUUGGUACCAUAGGCACACCCCGAAACACUUCAAAGGUGAAUGCACCAAGCAGAAAUAAUGUCAUUAUCUUUUUAAUGACUUGAAAUGAAAGUCCUUGAGGACAGCUUAACUUGUGUAUCAGGCUUCUUGAUCAGAAUAGUACAUGUACAUAUUCGAAUCUCAUGUUUUCGACUCUUAUUUAACUAUUGAAUGAAGUACUGUUUUCGUCAUCCGAGCAAGGGUCAUGUAGUGAAGACCAGACUGGACUGUAACUUUAGUAGUUGUUGAGCUGUGGAGUUUUUCGUGCAGCAAGUGCUUUUGUAUUCUCCAUUACUACAAAUGACUGCUGAUUUUGAUGAGUUGCAGUUUCAUACGAUCUAA